AUUAAAGAAAAGAAAGAAAUAAAAACAAGAGCACUCUCUCGAGAAACUCUCCAACCUAACGGUUUCAGAAUCUCUCUCACUUCACUUCACACAAUUUUUACUACUCGAUCCAAAUCCCUUCCUCCAAGAACAAAGAGAGGAAUUCCACCGCCGCAGAUCGGAAAUGUCUCCGCCGGAAUCACAACUCGAUCCAAAUCCCUUCGUCCAUGAACAAUCCUGACACCGCUUAUCACUACUCCAUUUCGUCGCGAUUCUCAUCUCUCCGUUAACAGUAACAGACUCCUAAUUCCUUCCGCUACAGCAGUUUUCGCCAUCGCUAGGUUUUUCGUCGAUUUUGUCAAUUACUGAAGGUACACGAAUUUUCUGUUUAAUUUAACUAUUUAAUUAUUUAUUUAUCUAUUUUGAUUUUGUGUGUGUUUUGCCGGUUGUUGAUUUGAGAUUUUUGUGAUAACAUGUGGAAGAGAUUCGAAAAGACUUGCAAUUGGUGAAAAAGUUCUGGAAAAUUUCGUCAAGGUAUUUGUAUUUAUUAACUGUUUCUAGGUUAAUCAUUUUGUAUUGAAUCACACUGUUUUGGUGUUAAAUUGAAUGUUUAUGAACUUGAUUCUGUUCUAGGUUUUUUUUCUUCCAAGUUUUAUAUUGUGUUUAGUUGAAUAUUUUGUGUAUUAUUAUGUCAUUAUGUGCAUAGAAUCAUAGGAAUUUGUUGCUGAUUUUGAAUGUUAAUGAACUUGAUUGAUAUAUGACACUAAUAGUAACCGUGUGUUAUACACUGCAGAAUUACACUGUUAUGGUGUUAAUUUGAACGUUUAUGAACUUGAUUUUGCUUUUUUAUAAUUUUUAUAAUGUGUUUAGUCGCCUGGCACGCAGGCUCAGUGUUUCGUUGAAUAUUUUGUGCAUUAUGCACAUAGGAUCAUAUGAAUUUGGUGUUGAUUUUGAUAUGUAAGACUGACAGUGACAAUAAAGUUCACUUGAUUUAGUGUGAUUAUCGUUUGCAUGAGUUGCAAAACAGGUUAAUAAACUUGAUUGGCUUGUGUAUGUGGUACUACAUUUGGAUAUGUAAGACCGACAGUGACACUAACGUUCUUUGUCUCUGAUCGAUUUUGACUUAGAGUUAGUUAAUAUAUGAACUUUUAGUUUUGCCCCAAAAUCUACGCUACAACAGAGUAGUAUAUUACAUUGAUGAUAUGGUUAUAUGGUAUAAGGCAUUGUUUAUCCAAUAUAUAAGCUCAAAUUUGUUGAACUAUGCUUUAAGAGUCGGGGCAGUGUUGCCUCUUCCACAUUUGGUUGGCGUUCUUAUUUAUGUUUCAUGUUAGUAUUAAUUUGUUUCCAUACUUUUAGUUUACCCUUAUGUGACUACUGGCAGUGUGGCCUCUAGGCUCUAUUAGGCAAGGUCAUCAGGCAAUGGUAUUUGUUUGUUCACGAAAAGACACUGCAAAGACUGCUUAGAAACUGGUUUGUCAUUUAAGAAGUUUUAUAUAGUCACGUUAUUUGAUCUGAAAUUUUUUCUCCUUAUAUUGCAGGUUUGCUGAAACCAUUAUUUUGUAUUAUACACUUGGUCUAUAUGAACAGAUUGUACUAGUUUCUGCCCCAUGCCUUGCUUUCAGUAUCAUUAUUUUUAUGUCAUGUUCAACAGGCUGAACUUGCACGAAUGGAAGAAGACUUGGAACUCUUCAAUAAUGACACAAAUCCACAUUAUUUCUUUAUGAAGAAAGAAGUCAUUAAAUCAAGAAACAAGGAUCUCGUUCAACUUUUUGAAUUUGGCAUGGGUAUUCAUCAUGCUAUGAUGUUACGUUCAGAUAGAGGACUGACUGAGAGGCUUUUCUCUCAUGGACUUUUGAAGGCAGAGCUUAUCUCACUAGUUUUCAAUCUAGACUUUCGGAAUUUGCCUCUUGUUUCAUUAAGUAUGCAUUGUGGUGCUUUUAGGUACUUGUCUGCACAACAACUCUGGCAUGGGGUGUCAAUCUAGCUGCUCACACAGUUGUAAUUAAGUAUGCACUAUGGUAUUUAAUGAUGUAACUUUUUAGUUUAACACUUCUACAUGCUAGAUACUAUGAUGUGUAGAUGCUGUUACUGUCAAUUCUUAGACAAGAAAACAGGUACGUUGCUACAUGCCUGCACGGUGUGUCGAAAUGGAACUCCACAUAUUCCUCAAUGGUGAUGGCCCAUCUAAAGAAUUCAAUGAUUUUUGCACAAAACUUGCUGGGUUGACUUGGUAAGUGUUAUUACUUGCUUAUUACUGUUUCAUUAUGAAUUAGCAUUUUUUGUUUAUUAACGAUUUUUUGUUCUGACUAGAGUUUCACUUUAAAUUUGAUACAUUUUCCUCGAGUUUCCCGAAAAGAGACAUACUUUGUACUUGCUUUGAAUUAGAUAUGGUAAAUCUUCUAUCACGUCUCAAGUUACAAUAUCUGGUAUCGAAAAUAGAGGGGAUGAGUGAUUACAGAGGAGAUCUUGUCAUUUGAGAGAAUUGGAUCAAUGGUUUAUAUAUUAAGCACUGGUUGACAUCAAAAAGAGUUUGAUUGAUCCCAUGGACAAACUGAUGAGGAACUAGAAUUAGGGUGGAUCAAUGUGCAGCAAACUAGAAUUAGUUUUCUAUUUUGAACCAAAGUAUAUCUAUCAGAAGGAUAAAUGGUAAUGUUAUACCAUGCUAAUAUAUCUUCAUUGUUUUUUGCUUGAAGGGAUUUCAUGUGGAACAAUCUGACAAGCGCAAUACCAAAAGAGAUUGGCAAUAUUACAUCAUUGAAACUCUUGUAAGAUCGUGACCAAAGAAGUCGAAUUAUUAGUUUUGAUUCUCAUCAAGUUUUUGUGUUAAGGUGGUGUCUACUUGUUGACUUGACUUUAGCUUUUGGACAAUAAUAACUUAUCCGGAUAUCUUCCACCAGAAUUCUCGGAGUUAUACAGUUCGGCAAUAUUGUAUGUUAUGCUCUAUAUUGUCUAGAUUAGUAGCAUAUAAUAGCUUCUUCAUUGUAUAUGUUGCAUGCUUUUGUUUGAUUUGUGGAUGAGGAUCUGUAAACUAUGAUGAUACAUGACCUGAAUGUAGUUAGAAUCAGAGAUGCUCAAUCAAUGUCUGGUACCCAUCAUACAAUCUUGUUAAUUUUCAAUUUUGUUUAUUGAAAUAGCUGAAACCUUCAUUUAUAGGGAUGUUGCAGAAUUUGCACUUAUGUUAUUUUAGUUUGACAUAACCUUGAUUUACGUCACUUUGU
Trifolium pratense (red clover) is the source of this 3197-nucleotide long non-coding RNA. RefSeq lists it as uncharacterized. The record is from RefSeq and is a predicted model, not a curated record. NCBI's taxonomy places the organism in Eukaryota, Viridiplantae, Streptophyta, Magnoliopsida, Fabales, Fabaceae. The transcript is spliced from 3 exons.